RNAcentral lists this ribosomal RNA (430 nucleotides) under Pseudomonadota bacterium. RNAcentral's name for it is "Proteobacteria bacterium partial 16S ribosomal RNA". It matches the Rfam family "Bacterial small subunit ribosomal RNA", at positions 355 to 776 of the family's 1533-position model. Lineage: Bacteria; Pseudomonadati; Pseudomonadota. The record is from RNAcentral.
UGGGGAAUAUUGGACAAUGGGGGGAACCCUGAUCCAGCCAUGCCGCGUGUGUGAAGAAGGCCUUAUGGUUGUAAAGCACUUUAAGCGAGGAGGAGGGUACUGGUAUUAAUACUACCAGCUACUGGACGUUACUCGCAGAAUAAGCACCGGCUAACUCUGUGCCAGCAGCCGCGGUAAUACAGAGGGUGCGAGCGUUAAUCGGAUUUACUGGGCGUAAAGCGUGCGUAGGCGGCUAAUUGAGUCGGAUGUGAAAUCCCCGAGCUUAACUUGGGAAUUGCAUUCGAUACUGGUUAGCUAGAGUGUGGGAGAGGAUGGUAGAAUUCCAGGUGUAGCGGUGAAAUGCGUAGAGAUCUGGAGGAAUACCGAUGGUGAAGGCAGCCAUCUGGCCUAACACUGACGCUGAGGUACGAAAGCAUGGGGAGCAAACAGG